CCUCUUUAUUUUUUUAUUUUAACUUUUAUAUAUUUUCACUCUGUAGCCCAGGCUGGCCUGGAACUCACUAUGCAGUCCAGUUUGGCCUUGAUCUCAUGGGGAUUAAUCCUACUUCGGCCUCUCAAAUGCUGGGAUAAUAGACACGGAUCACUAAGAUUCUGAAUGUAACUUCCUCUCCCCAAAACUCCUGAUUCAAGGCAAUACUGAAAAAGAGAGCCCUCAUCUCAGACAGAAGAUGAGUGUCUCUGAAGAUGCCCACACAGGAUGCAUGGAUGCCAGCUCCUCUACUGCUCCUGGAACCCCGGAC
Molecule: long non-coding RNA, 307 nt
Filed under: Cricetulus griseus (Chinese hamster)
Lineage: Eukaryota; Metazoa; Chordata; Mammalia; Rodentia; Cricetidae
Description: lncRNA (ENSCGRG00015039625.1)
Source: RNAcentral